CCUACGGGUGGCAGCAGUGAGGAAUAUUGGUCAAUGGCCGAGAGGCUGAACCAGCCAAGUCGCGUGAGGGAAGACGGCCCUAUGGGUUGUAAACUUCUUUUGUAGGGGAGUAAAAAGUGUCACGUGUGGCUCAUUGAGUGUACCCGAUGAAAAAGCAUCGGCUAACUCCGUGCCAGCAGCCGCGGUAAUACGGAGGAUGCGCGCGUUAUCCGGAUUUAUUGGGUUUAAAGGGAGCGCAGGCGGAGGUGUAAGUCAGCGUGAAAAUUGCGGGGCUCAACCCCGUACUGCCGUUGAAACUGCAUCCCUUGAGUGCGGGAGAGGUAUGCGGAAUGCGUGGUGUAGCGGUGAAAUGCAUAGAUAUCACGCAGAACUCCGAUUGCGAAGGCAGCAUACCGGCGCGCAACUGACGCUGAGGCACGAAAGCGUGGGUAUCGAACAGGAUUAGAUACCCGGGUAGUC
RNAcentral lists this ribosomal RNA (459 nucleotides) under uncultured bacterium. RNAcentral's name for it is "partial 16S ribosomal RNA". It matches the Rfam family "Bacterial small subunit ribosomal RNA", at positions 338 to 795 of the family's 1533-position model. The record is from RNAcentral.